UCCCUGGUGGCCUAGUGGUUAAGGAUUCAGCAUUGUCACUGCUGUGGCUCAGAUUCAAUCUCUGGCCCAGGAG
This is a transfer RNA of Sus scrofa (pig), 73 nucleotides long. It matches the Rfam family "tRNA". Rfam says of the family: Transfer RNA (tRNA) molecules are approximately 80 nucleotides in length. Their secondary structure includes four short double-helical elements and three loops (D, anti-codon, and T loops). Further hydrogen bonds mediate the characteristic L-shaped molecular structure. tRNAs have two regions of fundamental functional importance: the anti-codon, which is responsible for specific mRNA codon recognition, and the 3' end, to which the tRNAs corresponding amino acid is attached (by aminoacyl-tRNA synthetases). tRNAs cope with the degeneracy of the genetic code in two manners: having more than one tRNA (with a specific anti-codon) for a particular amino acid; and 'wobble' base-pairing, i.e. permitting non-standard base-pairing at the 3rd anti-codon position. NCBI's taxonomy places the organism in Eukaryota, Metazoa, Chordata, Mammalia, Artiodactyla, Suidae. The record is from Rfam.